This is a non-coding RNA of Macaca mulatta (Rhesus monkey), 675 nucleotides long. Lineage: Eukaryota; Metazoa; Chordata; Mammalia; Primates; Cercopithecidae. The record is from RefSeq and is a predicted model, not a curated record.
UUAGUUUUGGAAAAAACUGCCAAACUGUCUUUCAAACAGGCCGUACCUGUACAUUUUGCAGUCCAGCAGCAACGAAUGAGAGUUCCUGUUGCUCCACAUCUUUGGCAACGUUUGGUGUCAGUGUUCUGGAUUCUGGCCAUUCCAGUAGGUCCUUUUCUCAUUUGAUAAGGCUGUCACAUUGAAAACAUGGAAUUGCAGAAUGUUCAAGGUGGAAGGAUCCUUACAGAUGAUUUAGUCCAACUUGACCUGUAUGGCAUAGAGAUAUAUGCAGAUGUGCAUGUGCAAUUCUGCAGCUAGAAACGGACACUGAGCUGGAGUAAACCGCACAGAGAAGAACUGAGGAAUGUAAAGUAAAAGAAAGCAAUGCAAGCUGUUCAUGAUAGGAAAGAUCUGCAUAUGUUCAUUUUAUAGUAGAAAAAUGGUAAGAUUUUUCUGUCCCCAAUUUUCUCUCCAAAUGAAUCCAAAUUUCCUGUAUUUUGGAAUGACUUUGGGUAAAGUGGUUGUUUAUAUAGUCUCUGAUAAAAUAUUGAGGAUAUUAUUAGAUAUUGUUACAUUUCCAUGAAUAUGUUUCCCUUUAUCUUUAAGAGAAAGAGAAGUAUAACCUAUCAGAGUGGGAGAUGGUAUAAAAGCUGGACUAAACGAAUUGCUAGAUGGAGGGCAAACCUAGUGUGAAUG